Molecule: ribosomal RNA, 572 nt
Filed under: Serratia sp. (in: enterobacteria)
Lineage: Bacteria; Pseudomonadati; Pseudomonadota; Gammaproteobacteria; Enterobacterales; Yersiniaceae
Description: bacterial SSU rRNA
Rfam family: Bacterial small subunit ribosomal RNA
Source: RNAcentral
AUGUCGAUUUGGAGGUUGUGCCCUUGAGGCGUGGCUUCCGGAGCUAACGCGUUAAAUCGACCGCCUGGGGAGUACGGCCGCAAGGUUAAAACUCAAAUGAAUUGACGGGGGCCCGCACAAGCGGUGGAGCAUGUGGUUUAAUUCGAUGCAACGCGAAGAACCUUACCUACUCUUGACAUCCAGAGAACUUUCCAGAGAUGGAUUGGUGCCUUCGGGAACUCUGAGACAGGUGCUGCAUGGCUGUCGUCAGCUCGUGUUGUGAAAUGUUGGGUUAAGUCCCGCAACGAGCGCAACCCUUAUCCUUUGUUGCCAGCGAUUCGGUCGGGAACUCAAAGGAGACUGCCGGUGAUAAACCGGAGGAAGGUGGGGAUGACGUCAAGUCAUCAUGGCCCUUACGAGUAGGGCUACACACGUGCUACAAUGGCGUAUACAAAGAGAAGCAAGCUCGCGAGAGCAAGCGGACCUCAUAAAGUACGUCGUAGUCCGGAUUGGAGUCUGCAACUCGACUCCAUGAAGUCGGAAUCGCUAGUAAUCGUAGAUCAGAAUGCUACGGUGAAUACGUUCCCGGGCCU